Molecule: unclassified non-coding RNA, 308 nt
Filed under: fungal sp.
Lineage: Eukaryota; Fungi
Description: partial internal transcribed spacer region
Rfam family: Eukaryotic small subunit ribosomal RNA (bases 1-46)
Source: RNAcentral
AAGUCGUAACAAGGUUUCCGUAGGUGAACCUGCGGAAGGAUCAUUAACACGUUUCAAACGUAUCAACCAAACCGCGAACUCUGACGUUAGUGACCUCAUUCAGCUUGCUGAGUGAUGGUUGCGCCUGAGCUUUGUUAGGGGAAAGUGCUGUUUGGGUCUAACUCAGACAGAGUGCUUCCUUUAACACUGUUCACAUUAACCCAAACCUUUAUUUGUUGUUCAUUUCUCGUUGUAAAGGACGUGGCGUUCGCGCUAUUGUCUUUUAUUACAAACUUGUACAACUCUUAGCAACGGAUGUCUUGGUUUCC